This 292-nucleotide ribosomal RNA is filed under the name uncultured bacterium. RNAcentral's name for it is "partial 16S ribosomal RNA". The record is from RNAcentral.
GGACUACAGGGGUUUCUAAUCCCGUUCGCUCCCCUAGCUUUCGCCCCUGAGCGUCAGGUACUCCCCAGGACACUGCCUUCGCCUUUGGUAUUCCUCCGGAUAUCUACGCAUUUCACCACUCCACCCGGAAUUCUGUGUCCCUCUGAAGUCCUCCAGUCAUGCCGUCUUCGAGGCGCUCUCCCAGUUAAGCCGGGAGCUGUAACCCCAAACUGACACAACCGCCUGCGGGCCCUUUACGCCCAAUAAAUCCGGACAACGCUCGCCCCCUACGUAUUACCGCGGCUGCUGGCAC